UCUCUUUUUCAUCUCUUAAGUGAGUGAAAGUAACUGACCAAAGAAAAGUAAGGGUUUUCUUAAUCAUUCAAGAUUGCACCAAAGAUUGACCAUUUCUCGGACAGAAACAACUGAAGCUGCGACGAAAUUAAAAUGCACAGUCAACAUGGUUCCUUCAACAUCUAGUUUGUACUAAAAAUGGAUUCAACUAAUGGCCAAUCUAAACGAGCAAACGAGCAAUUGUCAGGCAAAUCAUUUUCAUAGCAAAAUUGAAGCUCGAUGGGAAAAAUCAAAUGUUCAAUAUCAAAUCAUGAAUCGACUCUAAACCCUGGACUAACAUGGCAAAUUUUGCACAUUUACCAAUCCAUGGAAACGCUUUAUCGGCUGUCAACUUGAAUCGUCGUGAUUUGGCUGCAAAUUACUGUGCACAUUCCCCCUGGAAUGAAUGUAAACUGAGCAACAUUAAUUUUGAACAAAGGAGAAGAAGAAACAGUGUGAAAUGUUUAGAUCAUGAAUAAUGAUGAAUAGAAAGAUUAUAUGAAAAUUAAGGUGUAACAAGGCCAACUAUUUUGAUCCAUGAAAGCCCAGGCAAGAAACAAGAUAAAUACAUUUACAGAGGUAACAUUUACAUUCCACUGGAAUCAUUAUCAUCAUCAUCAUCAUCAUCAUCGUCACCAUGAUACUCAUUAUCAUCUCAAUCUUUUGUAAAAAAAAGAAAAGGUAAAAAAAAGUUGAAGAAGAAAUCAAAAUAAACUAUCAUCGACUUAUAAGUGAUCAUCUCUACACUGGAGAUGACACUACAUAAAAAACCAGGUAAACCGGUUCCUUUCAUCAUCAUCAUCAACAACAGCAUCACCUUUCAUCAUUCCUUCACUCAUGUUCUGGCGCCUUGUUCAUCAUUGAUCUUGUUAUCAGUUUGUUUCAUCUGAAUCCAGUGUGAGUUUCUCUUCCCUCCCUGAGAAUCUUUCAAAAUAAAAACAGAUUUACUGCCAACUUUAAUCUAUUUUAUGGUUCCUUUUGAUAAUCUUUUUCUUCUUCUUCUUGUUCCAAAAAAAAGGUGAACACAAAAUAUACAGAAAUCACACUUGUAAGGUGUGAGGCAGAUGAAAGAUGAUGAGAGGAUGAAGAGUGUGAUGAUCACGAUAGCAAUAAUAAUAAUAAUAAUAACCAAAGAGGCAAAAGUAAUUCAAUCUUGGCCUCUUCAUAUCAUCAUCAUACAUUUACUAAAUAGGUAAGCUUUUCCUUCAUUUUUGGCCCGAUUAAUGGACAAAGAUCAAUGGUUAACUUAUCAGUUGCUCACGCCUUUUGACCUUCAGGAUAAAUACCCAGAAAACUUGAGCGUUGAUGUUUAUCCUGUAACUUUCUUAUCUUGCAUCUUACACCUUGAUCCGUUUGAAGAGCAGCUAAAAGGUAGGUAAAAGAAGAGGUCAGAAAGUAACUAAAAGCAGAGAGUAAGUGAAGAAAGAAGAGAAAGCAAAAAAAGAUGAAACCAAAAAAAAAGAGGUUUGCCUUUAAAAACGGCAACAAAAGAGCGCACAAUUUUUGUGACUUUAAAAUGUUACCUAGUAAGUGUACAAGUUAACACAAGUCGGUAGGAACA
Tetranychus urticae (two-spotted spider mite) is the source of this 1579-nucleotide long non-coding RNA. RefSeq lists it as uncharacterized. The record is from RefSeq and is a predicted model, not a curated record. Lineage: Eukaryota; Metazoa; Arthropoda; Arachnida; Trombidiformes; Tetranychidae.